Microtus oregoni (creeping vole) is the source of this 464-nucleotide long non-coding RNA. RefSeq lists it as uncharacterized. Lineage: Eukaryota; Metazoa; Chordata; Mammalia; Rodentia; Cricetidae. The transcript has 3 exons. The record is from RefSeq and is a predicted model, not a curated record.
AUGGGAACCAGUGCCAGCGCAUGUAGCCUGUGAGCAGUCUUCUUCAGUUCCCUCUAGCCUCAGGAGACAUUCUGGAAGGACAUUUACCUCAAAGGACCUCGGAGGCUAUACCGUUGUCUUGGAGCUGGUCAGUGACUGGAACCCUCUACAGGACAGGUGCUUGGAGGAAGACCCUGGACAGUUCUAAGCUGGACAGUGCUUGCUGCCUGGACCUUGUAUCUACCACUAGCCAUUGUCCUCACCACCGUGUGGGCCUUAGAAAGACUUCCAGGAGGCGAUGCCAGCUUGGGAAGGAGCCUCUGGUCUGCAGGGCAGCUUCAGGAGGUGAUGCAAGCUCUGUGGAUACAGCAGCCAACAUUGGGUACUUGAGGAGAGGUUGUCUGUGAUGAGUUCGCUUUAUUAAUGACGAAUAUAACACAGAUGGCCUGUUUUCAAUACCACCUGUUACUCCUGUCACUCGGCAG